AUUGAACGCUGGCGGCAGGCCUAACACAUGCAAGUCGAACGAGUGGCGGACGGGUGAGUAAUGUCUGGGAACCUGCCCGAUGGCGGGAGAUCACUACUGGAAACGGUAGCUAAUACCGCAUACCAUCGGAUGUGCCCAGAUGGGAUUAGCGAGUAGGUGGGGUAACGGAGCACCUAGGCGACGAUCCCUAGCUGGUCUGAGAGGAUGACCAGCCACACUGGAACUGAGACACGGUCCCGACGCCUACGGGAGGCAGCAGUGGGGAAGAUUGCACAAUGGGCGCAAGCCUGAUGCAGCCAUGCCGCGUGUAUGAAGAAGGCCUUCGGGUUGUAAAGUACUUUCAGCGAGGAGGCGUUACUCGCAGAAGAAGCACCGGCUAACUCCGUGCCAGCAGCCGCGGUAAUUC
Molecule: ribosomal RNA, 406 nt
Filed under: uncultured bacterium
Lineage: Bacteria
Description: partial 16S ribosomal RNA
Rfam family: Bacterial small subunit ribosomal RNA
Source: RNAcentral